AGUGGGGAAUUUUGGACAAUGGGGGAAACCCUGAUCCAGCCAUCCCGCGUGUGCGAUGAAGGCCUUCGGGUUGUAAAGCACUUUUGGCAGGAAAGAAACGUCAUGGGUUAAUACCCCGUGAAACUGACGGUACCUGCAGAAUAAGCACCGGCUAACUACGUGCCAGCAGCCGCGGUAAUACGUAGGGUGCAAGCGUUAAUCGGAAUUACUGGGCGUAAAGCGUGCGCAGGCGGUUCGGAAAGAAAGAUGUGAAAUCCCAGAGCUUAACUUUGGAACUGCAUUUUUAACUACCGAGCUAGAGUGUGUCAGAGGGAGGUGGAAUUCCGCGUGUAGCAGUGAAAUGCGUAGAUAUGCGGAGGAACACCGAUGGCGAAGGCAGC
RNAcentral lists this ribosomal RNA (380 nucleotides) under Achromobacter marplatensis. Its description in RNAcentral is "bacterial SSU rRNA". It matches the Rfam family "Bacterial small subunit ribosomal RNA", at positions 353 to 725 of the family's 1533-position model. The record is from RNAcentral. Lineage: Bacteria; Pseudomonadati; Pseudomonadota; Betaproteobacteria; Burkholderiales; Alcaligenaceae.